AGACCCGAAACCCGGUGAUCUAGCCAUGGGCAGGUUGAAGGUUGGGUAACACUAACUGGAGGACCGAACCGACUAAUGUUGAAAAAUUAGCGGAUGACCUGUGGCUGGGGGUGAAAGGCCAAUCAAACCGGGAGAUAGCUGGUUCUCCCCGAAAGCUAUUUAGGUAGCGCCUCGUGAAUUCAUCUCCGGGGGUAGAGCACUGUUUCGGCUAGGGGGCCAUCCCGGCUUACCAACCCGAUGCAAACUGCGAAUACCGGAGAAUGUUAUCACGGGAGACACACGGCGGGUGCUAACGUCCGUCGUGAAGAGGGAAACAACCCAGACCGCCAGCUAAGGUCCCAAAGUCAUGGUUAAGUGGGAAACGAUGUGGGAAGGCCCAGACAGCCAGGAUGUUGGCUUAGAAGCAGCCAUCAUUUAAAGAAAGCGUAAUAGCUCACUGGUCGAGUCGGCCUGCGCGGAAGAUGUAACGGGGCUAAACCAUGCACCGAAGCUGCGGCAGCGACGCUUAUGCGUUGUUGGGUAGGGGAGCGUUCUGUAAGCCUGUGAAGGUGGCCUGUGAGGGUUGCUGGAGGUAUCAGAAGUGCGAAUGCUGACAUAAGUAACGAUAAAGCGGGUGAAA
Molecule: ribosomal RNA, 619 nt
Filed under: Salmonella enterica
Lineage: Bacteria; Pseudomonadati; Pseudomonadota; Gammaproteobacteria; Enterobacterales; Enterobacteriaceae
Description: partial 23S ribosomal RNA
Rfam family: Bacterial large subunit ribosomal RNA
Source: RNAcentral